RNAcentral lists this long non-coding RNA (209 nucleotides) under Elaeis guineensis (African oil palm). Its description in RNAcentral is "long non-coding RNA (EGUI_LNC024531)". The record is from RNAcentral. Lineage: Eukaryota; Viridiplantae; Streptophyta; Magnoliopsida; Arecales; Arecaceae.
UUUUCUUACAUAAUGCUAAUAUUUUCCGCCAUUUAAAAUCAUUUGAAGAUUCUCUAAAAAGUGUUUUAUCCAUUGGAAAUAUGAAAAUAACCAUUAUAGGAUGCAUGGGAUAAAAAACUGCUUUUUCCAAAAACUAGCCGUUACGGAUACUGGGUCGGCUCAACUUUUCUCUGAGUUAGCUCAGUCCUUCACUGGGUCGGCUCAGUUCU